GGGAGGGCCUUUUUUUAAGUUAGAAAAUUAAGUUAUAUUUUUAUGAUAGAUUUUUAAUUUUGAUUGUUAAGUCAGAAAAUUAAGUUAUAUUUUUAAGUUAGAUUUUUUAGUUAGAUUGUUAAGUUUGAUUUUUAAGUUAGAUUUUUAAGUUAGAUUUUUUUAAGUUAGAUUUUUGUAUAUGUGUCCCCUCCGCCGUCCCACCGCCGUGACCGCCGCCGUCACAACCUAGUAGGCACCGCCCGUGGUUCCGGGGAACCGUCCCCGCCUCCGCCGUACCGCUGCCCUGACCGCCGCCGUCACAACCUAGGCACCGCCCGUGGUUCCGGGGAACCGUCCCCGCCUCCGCCGUACCACCGCCCUGACCACUGCCGUCACAACCUAGGCACCACAUGUGGUUAUUGCUAGAAAUUCGUAGAAAUUUUUAGAAAUUUGUAGAAAUUUGUAGAAAUUCAUAACAAUUCGUAGAAAUUUGUAGAAAUUUGUAGAAAUUCGUAGAAAUUUGUAGAAAUUCGUAGAAAUUCGUAGAAAUUUUUAGAAAUUUGUAUAAAUAUUCCGAACUUUGUAGGAUUCAUGUUAUUUUAUGAUUUCAUUAUAUACAUGUAUGAUUCCGG
This 611-nucleotide long non-coding RNA is filed under the name Setaria viridis. RNAcentral describes it as "long non-coding RNA (SVIR_LNC008804)". The record is from RNAcentral. Lineage: Eukaryota; Viridiplantae; Streptophyta; Magnoliopsida; Poales; Poaceae.